GCCAUAGCAGGUGAUAGCCCUGUAGACGAAAACAGCGAGGAAGAACUAGGUGUACGACAAGUAGGGCGGGACACGUGAAAUCCUGUCUGAAGAUGGGGGGACCAUCCUCCAAGGCUAAAUACUCGUGAUCGACCGAUAGUGAACCAGUACCGUGAGGGAAAGGCGAAAAGAACCCCGGGAGGGGAGUGAAAUAGAUCCUGAAACCGCAUGCAUACAAACAGUCGGAGCCUCGCAAGGGGUGACGGCGUACCUUUUGUAUAAUGGGUCAGCGACUUACAUUCAGUGGCAAGCUUAACCGAUUAGGGCAGGCGUAGCGAAAGCGAGUCCGAACAGGGCGUUCAGUCGCUGGGUGUAGACCCGAAACCAGGUGAUCUAUCCAUGGCCAGGAUGAAGGUGCGGUAACACGUACUGGAGGUCCGAACCCACUAACGUUGAAAAGUUAGGGGAUGAGCUGUGGAUAGGGGUGAAAGGCUAAACAAACCUGGAAAUAGCUGGUUCUCUCCGAAAACUAUUUAGGUAGUGCCUCGUGUAUCACCUUCGGGGGUAGAGCACUGUCAUGGUUGUGGGGUCCAUUGCGGAUUACUACGCCAUAGCAAACUCCGAAUACCGAAGAGUGCAAUCACGGGAGACAGACAUCGGGUGCUAACGUCCGGUGUCAAGAGGGAAACAACCCAGACCGCCAGCUAAGGUCCCCAAAUAUGGCUAAGUGGGAAACGAAGUGGGAAGGCUAAAACAGUCAGGAGGUUGGCUUAGAAGCAGCCAUCCUUUAAAGAAAGCGUAAUAGCUCACUGAUCGAGUCGUCCUGCGCGGAAGAUGUAACGGGGCUAAGCCAUAUACCGAAGCUGCGGAUGCACAUUUAUGUGCAUGGUAGGAGAGCGUUCCGUAAGCCUGCGAAGGUGCACUGGAAAGUGUGCUGGAGGUAUCGGAAGUGCGAAUGCUGACAUGAGUAGCGAUAAAGGGGGUGAAAGGCCCCCUCGCCGUAAGCCCAAGGUUUCCUACGCAACGUUCAUCGGCGUAGGGUGAGUCGGCCCCUAAGGCGAGGCAGAAAUGCGUAGCUGAUGGGAAGCAGGUUAAUAUUCCUGCACCAUUGUUGAAUGCGAUGGGGGGACGGAUCGCGGAAGGUUGUCCGGGUGUUGGAAGUCCCGGUCCUUGCAUUGGAGAAGGCGCUUUGGCAAAUCCGGGCGCGGAAUUCAAGGGUGUGAGGCCAGUCACUUCGGUGACGAAGCAAUCGGAAGUGGUUCCAGGAAAAGCCUCUAAGCUUCAGUUCAACAAGACCGUACCGCAAACCGACACAGGUGGGCGAGAUGAGUAUUCUAAGGCGCUUGAGAGAACUCGGGAGAAGGAACUCGGCAAAUUGGUACCGUAACUUCGGGAUAAGGUACGCCCCUGUAGCUUGACUCGCCUGCGCGAG
This 1411-nucleotide ribosomal RNA is filed under the name Paraburkholderia caledonica. RNAcentral's name for it is "partial 23S ribosomal RNA". It matches the Rfam family "Bacterial large subunit ribosomal RNA", at positions 354 to 1776 of the family's 2925-position model. Lineage: Bacteria; Pseudomonadati; Pseudomonadota; Betaproteobacteria; Burkholderiales; Burkholderiaceae. The record is from RNAcentral.